AAGAAUUUAAGUUAAACAAACUAUUGACCUUCAAAGUCUAAAUUAAAUUACAAAUUUAAUUCUUA
Molecule: transfer RNA, 65 nt
Filed under: Arachnobas tricolor
Lineage: Eukaryota; Metazoa; Arthropoda; Insecta; Coleoptera; Curculionidae
Description: tRNA-Trp
Source: RNAcentral